GCGGCCUUGGCGAGCUCGGGAUCGGGCUCGGUGGAGCCGGGCUUGACCAGCUCGACGGCGAUCAUCCCGCCACGGCCGCG
This 80-nucleotide transfer RNA is filed under the name Gordonia insulae. RNAcentral's name for it is "tRNA-Ser". Lineage: Bacteria; Bacillati; Actinomycetota; Actinomycetes; Mycobacteriales; Gordoniaceae. The record is from RNAcentral.